CCUACGGGAGGCAGCAGUGGGGAAUAUUGCACAAUGGGGGAAACCCUGAUGCAGCGACGCCGCGUGAGUGAAGAAGUAUUUCGGUAUGUAAAGCUCUUUCAGCAGGGAAGAAAAUGACGGUACCUGAUUAAGAAGCCCCGGCUACCUACGUGCCAGCAGCCGCGGUAAUACGUAGGGGGAAAGCGUUAUCCGGAUUUACUGGGGGGAAAGGGAGCGUAGACGGCAGCACAAGUCUGGAGUGAAAUGCCGGGGCUUAACCCCGGAACUGCUUUGGAAACUGUGCAGCUAGAGUGCAGGAGAGGUAAGUGGAAUUCCUGGUGUAGCGGUGAAAUGCGUAGAUAUUAGGAGGAACACCAGUGGCGAAGGCGGCUUACUGGACUGUAACUGACGUUGAGGCACGAAAGCGUGGGGAGCAAACAGGAUUAGAUACCCCUGUAGUC
Molecule: ribosomal RNA, 440 nt
Filed under: uncultured bacterium
Lineage: Bacteria
Description: partial 16S ribosomal RNA
Rfam family: Bacterial small subunit ribosomal RNA
Source: RNAcentral